UACGAAGGGGGCUAGCGUUGUUCGGAAUUACUGGGCGUAAAGCGCGCGCAGGCGGUCUUCCAAGUCAGUGGUGAAAGCCCGGAGCUCAACUCCGGAACUGCCAUUGAAACUGUUGGACUUGAGUACGAGAGAGGUGAGUGGAAUUCCCAGUGUAGAGGUGAAAUUCGUAGAUAUUGGGAAGAACACCGGAUGGCGAAGGCGGCACACUGCUCGGUAACUGACGCUCAGG
RNAcentral lists this ribosomal RNA (229 nucleotides) under uncultured bacterium. RNAcentral describes it as "partial 16S ribosomal RNA". It matches the Rfam family "Bacterial small subunit ribosomal RNA", at positions 524 to 751 of the family's 1533-position model. The record is from RNAcentral.